UGUCUCUCUGCCUCUGGCUGCAGCAGCAGCUGUGUGCCUUUGCGUGUGUGUGACUGUCCCGCUCGCUCCGGCUCGGCUGUCGGGCCUCGUGCGGCGGCCACUCAACUCGGUCUUUCAGUCAACUCGUUCAUCUGUCUGGAUCUUUCGUUCACUCGGUCUUUCAGUCAACUCGUUCACUGUCUGGAUCUUUCGUUCACUCGGUCUCUCGUUCAACUCGUUCAUCCGUCUGGGUCUUUCGUUCACUCGGUCUUUCGUUCAACUCGUUCAUCCGUCUGGAUCUUUCAUUCACUCGGUCUUUCGUUCAACUCGUUCAUCCGUCUGGAUCUUUCGUUCACUCGGUCUUUCGUUCAACUCGUUCAUCGGUCUGGGUCUUUCGUUCAACUCGGUCUUUCGUUCACUCGGUCUUUCGUUCAACUCGUUCAUCCGUCUGGAUCUUUCGUUCACUCGGUCUUUCGUUCAACUCGUUCAUCGGUCUGGGUCUUUCGUUCAACUCGGUCUUUCGUUCAUUUGACCCGUUCUUUCAGUCAACUAGGUCUUUCGUUCAUUUGACCCGUUCUUUCAGUCAACUCGGUCAUCCCGGUCUUUCAGUCAGCUCAGUAGUACUGCUGCUGCUUCUCUAAGCCCCACCCACACACAGAACGAGGCGCGACGAUAGGAUAAGACAGGCAAGCAGUCCCUCUUCAGCCAAUCAAAAGAACUGAACGGAUUGAACGGGUCAUUUAGGGGGGGAGAACUAGUUCAUUUCGUUCAUCAAAAAGAACUAGUUCUUUUGAUCCGUUCGUUCAAGACCGACAAACCACUAGUGUGAGA
Xyrichtys novacula (pearly razorfish) is the source of this 810-nucleotide non-coding RNA. Lineage: Eukaryota; Metazoa; Chordata; Actinopteri; Labriformes; Labridae. The record is from the annotation of a GenBank genome assembly.